Molecule: long non-coding RNA, 5300 nt
Organism: Mus musculus (house mouse)
Lineage: Eukaryota; Metazoa; Chordata; Mammalia; Rodentia; Muridae
Product: predicted gene 13201
Exons: 8
Source: RefSeq, marked validated
ACUGAGCCUGGUAAAGCGGUGGCAGCAGGUCCUCUCCAGCUGCUCACCUAGCACCUUUGUGGCUCUAGAGGUUUGCUUCCUUAGGUCAGCUUGAUCGGUACAGCAUCACCCACCCCGAGGGAGAGCUAUUGAGAAGGAUGGAAACAUGGGACGUCAGGAGGGAGGGGUCCCAAAGGGAAGGGCCUUGGGAGAGCACCCACCUCUGAAGGGUGGAGUUCCUGAAGAGUAAGUCUCUGGGCCAGAGUCUCUGGAGGGCAAGCUUCUGGGAGUGAGGCUUCUCAGCCUACAAGAAGGCUACAGAGGGGCUGGAGAGAGGAUCCAGAGGUUAAGAGCACUGGCUGCUCUUCCAGAGGAUUCCGGUUCAAAUUCCCAACAGGCACAAGGCAGCUCACAACUGUCUUGUAACUCCAGGGGCCCUGACACUCUUAUCCAUGUAAGCAAAACACCAAUGCACAUAAAAUUUAAAAACAAACAAACAAACAAACAAACAAAAGGCUACAGAACUGGUCCAGCAUAGGGUACAGAGAGCCCAAGAACAAGUUCAGAUUCUGAUCCUUAUGCUUGGAACAGUUGGGGGUCACUGGAGGGCAGCCUGAGGGUGCACUAAAAGGGGAGAGUGUCCUGAGACCACGGGGCAAACCGUAAGCUGCUCACCCUUCACUCUUUCCCUUUCUCCUUCAUCUCAGCUGGUUACUCCCAUUUCCACAACUCUCUAUGUACCUUGGUCCUACCUACAGAUAACCCUCCUGCAGGCUCCUCUUUCUCCCCUCCCCUCCAUGUUCCACAUAGCCGGGCCUCAAGUCAAACCUUGUUCUGGAGCCUGCACAUUGGCUCCCUCAGGCUUGUAUAGCUCAAGUCCUGACUCCUCCUACCAGGAGCUCAGCCAGUCCCCAGCUCUGAGGUCUGGAUACCCACUUGUCUUAUCUAAGAAGACAUCAUCUGGUUCUUGCCUCAGGGUGUGGCUGUCUCUUACAGAGCUGAAGAGACCCUGGACAAACCUGGACAUCAGCUUGGGUAGCCGAGGAGACCAGAAGAUGCCCAUGUGCCAGGUCACCACAUACUCCCAAGGCCCAGUGCUAUGCCAGAAGCCCUGCCAAGUCCAAAGUAACUUGGCCUGUCCAUGUCCCCACCUGGCCCUUGCCCUGAAGGACACAGCUGGCCGACUAGGUGACACAGGGCUGCAGCAGCAGAGUAACCUACAGCUGCCAGUAGGGAGGUCCCAGGGGAGGAUCCGAGAGCCAUUUGUACAGCAGAGUAACCUGUGCUUCCGAGGAACUGCUAGCCCCCAUCUGCAGAACAGCUGCCUGCCACCAGCUGGCCCAUCCUCCCACCAGAAGCAGACAUUCCAGGUCGCAGGCUGCUUAGACUUGAGACUCUCAGAGGACUUGGCACCUCUUGAUGGGUGCACAUGGCCUGGCCCCAGGCCCUGGUGUCGUUCAGGGAGCUGGGCACCCAGGCUUGUGGGGGAGCCUCUCACCUUGGAGGACCUGUCUGUCUCUGACCACAGUCAGUCUCAGGCCUCAACCUCUUUCUCCUGUAGUACUGCCCACUGGCUGCUGGACUCCACCCAACACCUAGAACCUGAAAGCCAGACAUCCUGGGAGCACCUAGGUCUUACCCAGAGAGGACCCCACAACUGUGGUGGCCAGUCAACUCCUGCCCAAUCUUGGCCCAGCCACUCUAGGGAAAGUUUAAGCUUCCUGGAGACUCUGGAGGUCCAAGCUAGAUUUUCUGAGUCCCCUAUAUACAUGCCCCUGUUACAUGAGGCCACUCUGGGAACACUGGCUGGGGAUUUCUCUGACUCAGACCAUGAGGUCCUUUCUUCCCAGUACCUUGGAGCAAGAGAGAGGGGUCCCCCAGGCUUUCUAUUUAACAAAAGGCACAGAGGGCACUUCAGUGUCACACUCGAGGAGAGGAGCAAAGAGACCAGACUUGAAUCUCCAGGCAUCUUCAGCGUCCUGCCUGGGCAGGAAGGAAGAGAGAGGGCCCCAGAGGAAAAAACAGGCAGGGAUGGGGAGAGGAUGGCCUCCUGCCCGUCAAACAUAGCCCCGGCUCAGAGCACCACGCAGAAUGAGGCUCAAAACAUUGUGACCCUGGACUCCCAGACAGCCUGCCGGAAGCUGCUGUCCGAAAGUUUCAGAGUCUGGAGGCGCUUGUCACAGAGGCGUCAGGCAGUGGCUAAGGCCACAGCUAUGAGACACAGGCAGCUGAUUCGAAAGAGCCUCAGAGAGCUGCACUGGGUCCUAUGGCUCCAGAAGACCCGACUGGAGGCAGCUUGGGAGCAACAAGCAAAGGCCCUUCUAGCCCGGAGCUUCCGAGAGUGGAGACAUGUCGCUUUGCGGCAGAAACUGGAGCAACCUCAUACCCAGGCUGUGCCAACGUUCCUUGCUUCUAGGGGAAGCCUUUCCUUGGAAAGAAAAGCAGCCGCAGAUCUUGCCUGGAGAUGCAGGUGCUUCAGGGCCUGGCAACGGUUAGCGCAAAGAGGGGCCCAGUACAGAAGACAUCUGGCCCACCGAAGAGUGAGGACCUUAAGGGCAUGCCUGGGACAGUGGAUGGAGAUGAAGCGGCUCCAGGCCUCAGAUGUCACAAAGGUGACUCAGUUGGCCCUCCACUGGCUGAAGGCAGGGAAUGAGGUUCUCAGCGGCUUAGCCCCAGGAGCUGCCAUGGCCCAUUGCCUGGAGACAGUGACCCACGCCCAACAGCUAUCCAAGGGUCCAGAUCAGUGCUCCCUGUGGGAAAUCUGCCAAAAGUUGGCCCUGUACCGGACCCUGCUGCUCUGGAGGACACGAUUCUACCAGCGCCAGCAAACUGGAGUCCCAGAGGUCGGGAUGCAGUUAGCGGCCCAGGCUUAUGUCCAACAAACUGCUAUCACCCAAUGCUGGCAGCGGCUUCGGGGUCUCCUUAGGACCCACCGGGUUCAGUCUCAGUCAACUCUGUUCAAACAGAAGCUGGAGCCACAGACCCAGGCACAGGGCAUGGACUUAGGACACUGGCUUAGGCUGGCCAGCAGAGGGCAUCUCCUGCUACUGACGGACACCACAUACUUUUGGAUGCGUGUGUCACAGAGAGACCCCUCUGCCCAGCCCUCGAGUUCUGGCUGCCACUGCCUGCACGGGCCCUCCACUGGCCCCCUACAGGAAUAGGUGAGCCCUGCAGCUCUGAGACUAGGGCCCUGAAGGGCCAAGGCCAGGCUCCUCAAAGGUGGACCAGCUGUGCAUGGGAGGGGUGGUCAGUCCCUUCAGGCAAGGGAUUUUUCAACUCUGGCAGAAUGGCCGAGCCUGGGCCUCUUGUUCUUUGCUGUUGAAGAGGUUAGAUGUUCUUGGCCUGCAGGGACAGGUACCUAUAGUGUUGGCAUAGUCAGGUUUCCCAGCAGGCCUGGAGCCUGGCAAGGGCAUGGCAGCGCUGGGUAGAUGUUCACUGGGUGGAGCAGCUGUCUUGGGCUCUGGUAGGGAGGCUCAGCUCCUCUGUACCAAGCAGAGGCCCUGGGAACAACUCCCCACUCAUCCUAUGUAUCCCUUGGCUAGCUGGAGGCACUAACUACUAAUUGCACCUCAUGCCCAAAGCCUUAGGGAUGGGCUCAGGUGUGAUCACUUAUUAACAUUUCUUAGGUGAUGGCCCCUUGUCACAUCUCCUUCACCCUGGGGUGGCAGCAGAAGGGCCAGGGCUGACAGGAUGGCAGAGGAUCUUUUCUAUCAACUCUCUCUGUAGCUCAGACAAUGGCACCUGGAACAGGCGUGGAGGACAUGGCAGAAAAAGGUCCUUCAGCUCCGGGUGGCUCAACAGCUACACCAGAGAGAAGAGAGCCGGGUCCUUUUCCAGGUGACUUUACCUUGGUUCACCCAGCCAGCCCUCCAAGACCAGUGCCACCUCCAGGCUGAGCCAGGGAGAGGGGAGGGUGUCCCUGCUCACCACCCUGCGCUAUCCUCAUUCAGUUGAAUUGGCCAUUGGUUACAGAGCACACAGCCUGGACAUUAGAGCCCUUGACUAGGGGCCUCAAGCCCAGCCAAGUAUCAGUUUCACUCACUCAGAGAACCAGUCUGUUUGUGGCAGUGGCUCCCCAUGCUGGUCCUUGCAGGGCCUGCGUCCAGAACAGAUGUCUUGUUUGCAGGUCACGGGGCAUAGCUUCCCGGGUCACAAGUCCAGUCUAUUCUGAGCCUAGAUAUUUGGGCAGAGACAGGGUGGGCUGGCUGCCAGGGCAAAGGAAAGGGCCUCUGGUUGAGACACACAGAACAUGGCUUAGGUGUCAAGUCUGACAGGCCCAGUACAGACCCUGGAGGGAGCCUGAGACAAGCAGUACUUCCUGCCCUGCCUCCAAGCCUUUGAAAAGUGGCACCAGCGUUUGGUAGCCAAGAGCCCAUGAGAAGAACUAGCAGCAGCCUGUGCUCCUGGAAACAGUUUACAGUGGCUCAGGUGUAGCAGGCAUGGGGUGAGUAGGGGCCAGCAGCAGCUAUGAAAUAUUCCUGAGAAAUAAGAGAACCAAGCCCAGCCUUCCGAGGGAGGGAACAGGCCCACAGUUGGAGGGGCCAGCGCCUGGAGCUCUGGGACAAUAAAAGGACCUCCUCCUCCUGGCUGCUUCUGCUCAUUCUCUCCAAGGCUGCUCUCCACUGCAGUCACCCAGGCCUGGGAGACGAGGGCAGGAACCCCCUGCUCUCCCUAAGUUGCUCUACGGACCGCUUUCUCCCAUUCCCUGACUCAAACAAGACCAGCAGGCUGGGAGCAGUCAUCUGUGCCUGCCAGUCACUGCCCCAGGCAGCCAGGCCUGAGGGCUGACUGGGGAGGAGUGCCAGGGACAGCCCCUAGUCUAGGCCCAACAGAGAAGACGGUGCAGCUGGCAGGAGUCUGCUCAGAAGCAAGGGAGCAGGCUUCAUACAGCCACGGGAAGAGCUGGGCCCUGCCCAGGUAAAUCUCGCUAAGAGGACAGAAAACAAGGCCAAGAGCAAGCCUCCAUUGAGGACAGAACGCUUUUAACCCUGAAGGGGCACUUUCUUCCCAGCCACAGAACAGACACAACCAACCUUCUGCAGAGGCAGAACUCCUGCACUCUUUGGCCUAAGAUGGCAAGAAAGGCUUGUGUUACCAGCCAGGCCUCUCUUGGGGACCUGGUGUGUAGUCCGCUGAGCAGGGAGGAGGUUUCUGUACCCUCAUUUGCACAUCUCUUCCUACCUCCUUCAGUAUUUCACAGUGCCUACUGUCUGUCUCACACAGACCCCAGGUCAAAGUUCACCUCCUAGAGGCUGCCUUGGUGCAGUGGCUGGGCAAUCUCUGGUCUCCUCCCCCUGAGGAUGGAGGCGCUUGCCACA